UGAUCCUGGCUCAGAACGAACGCUGGCGGCAGGCUUAACACAUGCAAGUCGAACGGUCUCUUCGGAGGCAGCGGCAGACGGGUGAGUAACGCGUGGGAAUCUACCUAUCUCUACGGAACAACAGUUGGAAACGACUGCUAAUACCGUAUACGCCCCCCUUUGUGAUUAUUGGGUGGGGAAAGAUUUAUCGGAGAUAGAUGAGCCCGCGUUAGAUUAGCUAGUUGGUGAGGUAAUGGCUCACCAAGGCGACGAUCUAUAGCUGGUCUGAGAGGAUGAUCAGCCACACUGGGACUGAGACACGGCCCAGACUCCUACGGGAGGCAGCAGUGGGGAAUAUUGGACAAUGGGCGCAAGCCUGAUCCAGCCAUGCCGCGUGUGUGAUGAAGGCCCUAGGGUUGUAAAGCACUUUCAACGGUGAAGAUAAUGACGGUAACCGUAGAAGAAGCCCCGGCUAACUUCGUGCCAGCAGCCGCGGUAAUACGAAGGGGGCUAGCGUUGUUCGGAAUUACUGGGCGUAAAGCGUACGUAGGCGGACUAUUAAGUUAGGGGUGAAAUCCCAGGGCUCAACCCUGGAACUGCCUCUAAUACUGGUAGUCUUGAGUUCGAGAGAGGUGAGUGGAAUUCCGAGUGUAGAGGUGAAAUUCGUAGAUAUUCGGAGGAACACCAGUGGCGAAGGCGGCUCACUGGCUCGAUACUGACGCUGAGGUACGAAAGUGUGGGGAGCAAACAGGAUUAGAUACCCUGGUAGU
Molecule: ribosomal RNA, 749 nt
Filed under: uncultured marine bacterium
Lineage: Bacteria
Description: bacterial SSU rRNA
Rfam family: Bacterial small subunit ribosomal RNA
Source: RNAcentral